Small nucleolar RNA from Caenorhabditis elegans, 212 nucleotides. Lineage: Eukaryota; Metazoa; Nematoda; Chromadorea; Rhabditida; Rhabditidae. The record is from Ensembl.
AACCAGUUGAGCCAUUAAAAAACAUCAUUUAAACAACAUGGCAAGCAUUAUUUCGUUCCUAAUAAAUGGAAGCAUAGUCAGGAUUACUGUAGUUUCACAUGUAUUUAGCCAUUAAAAUUGUAAUCUGAGUUUUCAUCGGUAUUUGCGCAUACUCAGAAAAUUUUCUUAAAUAUCUUGUCUGUUCCUGUAUUUUCAAGAGCGAAAUAUCGUCA